Molecule: small RNA, 124 nt
Filed under: Marmota monax (woodchuck)
Lineage: Eukaryota; Metazoa; Chordata; Mammalia; Rodentia; Sciuridae
Source: RNAcentral
GCCAGGUGUGGUGGCGCAUACCUGUAAUCCCAGUGGCUCAGGAGGCUGAGGCAGGAGGAUCACGAGUUCAAAACCAGCCUCAGCAGUGGUGAGGCUCUGAGCAAUUCAGUGAGACCCUUCUCUA